GGACAAUGGAGUAUCACUCAAUCUUCGCCUUUGCGCUCUUAAGAUCCCUACAGAUUAUUCAAGAGGCAACAUCUUAAGAGGAGUUAUUGUAAAGAAUUAUGUUUCUGCAAAUCUGACUGAGGCCACUUGCCAGCAAAAGUGUAACAUCAUUUCCUCCCUGGACAAUUGCUCUCUGUGUGCCGGCUAUCUGUUCAACUACACUUGCCUAGAUCGAGAUGAGUGUCUACAUCAGACCCACAAUUGCAGCUCCAAUGCUGCCUGUACAAACACUGUUGGGUCCUACAACUGCACAUGUGACUCUGGGUUUUCAGGUGACGGCAAAUUCU
This is a long non-coding RNA of Sycon ciliatum, 326 nucleotides long. RefSeq lists it as uncharacterized. The transcript has 3 exons. Lineage: Eukaryota; Metazoa; Porifera; Calcarea; Leucosolenida; Sycettidae. The record is from RefSeq and is a predicted model, not a curated record.